UAGGGAAUAUUGGGCAAUGGCCGAGAGGCUGACCCAGCCAUGCCGCGUGCAGGAAGAAGGCCUUCUGGGUUGUAAACUGCUUUUGUCUGGGAAGAAAACGCCCCUGCGGGGGUAACUGACGGUACCGGACGAAUAAGCACCGGCUAACUCCGUGCCAGCAGCCGCGGUAAUACGGAGGGUGCAAGCGUUGUCCGGAUUUAUUGGGUUUAAAGGGUGCGUAGGCGGCCCGUUAAGUCAGCGGUGAAAUCCCGGGGCUCAACCCCGGAACUGCCGUUGAUACUGGCGGGCUUGAGUUCGGUCGAGGCGGGCGGAACUGGUGGUGUAGCGGUGAAAUGCAUAGAUACCACCAAGAACCCCGAUUGCGAAGGCAGCUCGCUGGGCCGAAACUGACGCUGAGGCACGAAAGCGUGGGGAGCGAACAGGAUUAGAUACCCUGGUAGUCCACGCCGUAAACGAUGAUCACUCGAUGUUUGCGAUACCGAGCAAGCGUCCAAGCGAAAGCGUUAAGUGAUCCACCUGGGGAGUACGCCCGCAAGG
RNAcentral lists this ribosomal RNA (537 nucleotides) under uncultured bacterium. RNAcentral describes it as "bacterial SSU rRNA". It matches the Rfam family "Bacterial small subunit ribosomal RNA", at positions 355 to 893 of the family's 1533-position model. The record is from RNAcentral.